Molecule: ribosomal RNA, 253 nt
Filed under: uncultured bacterium
Lineage: Bacteria
Description: partial 16S ribosomal RNA
Rfam family: Bacterial small subunit ribosomal RNA
Source: RNAcentral
UACGUAGGGACCAAGCGUUGUUCGGAUUGACUGGGCGUAAAGGGCGCGUAGGCGGAUGGUACAGUCAGACGUGAAAUUCCUGGGCUCAACCUGGGGGCUGCGUUUGAUACGUGCUGUCUGGAGUUCGGAAGAGGGUCGUGGAAUUCCCAGUGUAGAGGUGAAAUUCGUAGAUAUUGGGAAGAACACCGAUGGCGAAGGCGGCGACCUGGUCCGAUACUGACGCUGAGGCGCGAAAGCGUGGGGAGCAAACAGG